RNAcentral lists this ribosomal RNA (203 nucleotides) under uncultured bacterium. RNAcentral's name for it is "partial 16S ribosomal RNA". The record is from RNAcentral.
GACGAACGCUGGCGGCGUGCUUAACACAUGCAAGUCGAGCGGUAAGGCCCUUUCGGGGUACGACGAGCGGCGAACGGGUAGGAGUAACAACGUGGGUGGACCUCGCCCUCCAGCUCCUGGGAGUAAGACCUCGGGAAACGUAGGGUCGUAAUAACUGGAGUAUGACUCCACCGGUGGCAUGUCGUGGGGUGGGAAAGACCUUG